This 578-nucleotide ribosomal RNA is filed under the name Leptochela serratorbita. Its description in RNAcentral is "partial 16S ribosomal RNA". It matches the Rfam family "Bacterial large subunit ribosomal RNA", at positions 1796 to 2643 of the family's 2925-position model. Lineage: Eukaryota; Metazoa; Arthropoda; Malacostraca; Decapoda; Pasiphaeidae. The record is from RNAcentral.
UUGCCUGUUUUAUCAAAAACAUGGCCUUAUGGAGUAAUAUAUAAGGUUUGGCCUGCCCACUGAGGUUUAAAGGGCCGCGGUAUUUUGACCGUGCGAAGGUAGCAUAAUCAAUAGCCUUUUAAUUGGAGGCUGGAAUGAAUGGUCGGACAAGAUAUAAGCUGUCUUAAAUUUAAUAAGUAGAAUUUAACUUUUAAGUGAAAAGGCUUAAAUAAAUUAAAGUGACGAUAAGACCCUAUAAAGCUUUAUAUUGAAAAAUUAAUUUUAUAUUUAAGGUAUAAAUUUUAUUUUUUAAAAAAUAUUACAUUGGGGCGAUGUAGAUUAAAUUAGUAACAGUUGUUAAAAUAAAAUAAUUAAUAUUUAGGUAUGAGAGAUCCUUUUUAAAGAUUUUAAGAAAAAGUUACUUUAGGGAUAACAGCGUGAUUUUUUCUGAGAGUACAUAUCGACGAAAGUAGUUGCGACCUCGAUGUUGAAUUAAGAUUACUUUAAGGUGUAGCCGCUUUAAAUGAAGGUCUGUUCGACCUUUAAUAUCUUACAUGAUUUGAGUUCAAACCGGCGUGAGCCAGGUUGGUUUUCUAUCU